ACAAGCAAAGAACAAUUAAUUUCUGUUUUAAUAAAUAUUUGAUGUUAUUGGAAAAACCAUAACAACUUUACAAAAACUAGGAAUUCGUAAGACAAAACUUGAAAUGAACAACACUGAAAUGCAAGUUUGGCUUCAGGAGCUUAGCUUAUGAAGGAGAAGUAGAAAUUGAAGACAAUCAACAUUCCAUAACUAUAAUCGUUAAAAUCGCUUUCAGAUUUCUAAAAUAAGUGGUGAAACAUUUUUUCGGUAGGCAUCUAGCCGUCCAAAACCCUUAGAUCUAUCAUAAUAGUACGGUAACAUACCAACAAAACAAGUUCCCAAGGAUCAGGAUAAAAAAUUGGAACAAUAUGCAUUGAAGAAAUUAAAAAUGUCACUUUUACUUGAAUAAAAUAAAAACCAACGUCAACAUUGGACCAGUUCCAGAAGAUCGAUAAAUAGGUGUGACUGUGACUAAAUUAGCUUCAUGUAUAGCGUAUA
Long non-coding RNA from Episyrphus balteatus (marmalade hoverfly), 477 nucleotides. RefSeq lists it as uncharacterized. The record is from RefSeq and is a predicted model, not a curated record. NCBI's taxonomy places the organism in Eukaryota, Metazoa, Arthropoda, Insecta, Diptera, Syrphidae. The transcript is spliced from 3 exons.